RNAcentral lists this ribosomal RNA (253 nucleotides) under uncultured bacterium. Its description in RNAcentral is "partial 16S ribosomal RNA". It matches the Rfam family "Bacterial small subunit ribosomal RNA", at positions 524 to 776 of the family's 1533-position model. The record is from RNAcentral.
UACGGGGGGGGCAAGCGUUGUUCGGAAUUACUGGGCGUAAAGGGCUCGUAGGCGGCCAACUAAGUCGGACGUGAAAUCCCUCAGCUUAACUGGGGAACUGCGUCCGAUACUGGAUGGCUUGGAUUCGGGAGAGGGAUGCGGAAUUCCAGGUGUAGCGGUGAAAUGCGUAGAUAUCUGGAGGAACACCGGUGGCGAAGGCGGCAUCCUGGACCGAUAUUGACGCUGAGGCGCGAAAGCCAGGGGAGCAAACGGG